UGAUUGGUCACGAGUUUGUGGGAGGAGCUGUUCAGAGAGGAGAGACGGAUAUGAAUCACGUUUGUAGCAUUACCUCUGUUUGCCAGUAACUGGUAGGUCCGGAUGCCUGAAUUUUCUGUCGAACACCGGUGAGAUGCUAAACCAAACUCUGGAGCUGUUUUUGUCGAACACGGGUCAGAUGGUAAAACAAACUUUGGAGCUGUUCUGCGGCGGCGGCGAGAAUUCACAUACUGGCGACGCAAAAUAUCCGGCUGGAUUGCAGCGAACCCCAGCCAAGGUGCGUCAAGUUGGAGAGAGUGACGAGACGAAUUCCGUUUUGACGGCGUUUCAAAAUAAGAGGCAGAAAGUGUAUGUCGUCAUUGGUCACGUGCUUGUGGGAGGAGCUGUUCUGCGGCAUCGGGGAGGUUUACUGGUUCAGCUGCUGCAGCCUGGACACAAACACCAGCUCCCACCUUAAAAAGCAAACAGAGGCCUGGACUACGAAGGGAGUUUAAGCCACUCUGAUUUAACUCGGGUUAUCAAGGAACGUCGGGGUUGACAGACGUCGGCUGCCUCGAUCUGCGUUAACUACAGCGACGAUGAAGAUGUCGGUGUCUCCACUUCACGUCCAUGAUCAGAGCGUCUUUGGAUGAUGAAGGAAUUGUUUAGACCAGGACAGAGGCCUCCAGAAUUCAAAGUUCAAGCAUUAAAUGACAGAGAGAAGAGACAGACAUGAAGAUGUUUCCAGAAGAAUCACUUCUGUGUCCGACCCUCCUCCCACUGAAAUCAACACGACUCUACUCUACUGUGACAUUGAGUAUUUUUAACUGUUUAUGAUUGUUUGUUAUGCUUUACUGUAUUAUGACAUUUUUGAAUGUUGUUCAUGCCUUGACAGUUUUCCAUGUUUUACUGUUUGCCUUGUUGUACUGACAUUUGUUCACUGUUUUGUAUGUCUUUUUAUUGUGUGACAAUAAAUUGUGUGUGUGUAUUGUGUUUCUUGUUAGGAAGAGAUAGCAGAGGAAUGAGAGUAAAGGGCUGGGACACACUUUGGCCCAGCCCUUUACUCAGAUAGGACAGUGUAGAUGAGCAUGGGAAUAACAUGCAAUAAACACUUAGCUGGGGCACAUGAGCCUAUAUGGGCGCCCCAUUUUUUUUAAUUUUUUUUUUCCCAUUGACAUUUUUCUAAUUUUUCCAUUCAAAUUUUUGACAU
Lates calcarifer (barramundi perch) is the source of this 1189-nucleotide long non-coding RNA. RefSeq lists it as uncharacterized. The record is from RefSeq and is a predicted model, not a curated record. The transcript has 6 exons. Lineage: Eukaryota; Metazoa; Chordata; Actinopteri; Centropomidae.